Molecule: ribosomal RNA, 328 nt
Filed under: uncultured eukaryote
Lineage: Eukaryota
Description: partial 18S ribosomal RNA
Rfam family: Eukaryotic small subunit ribosomal RNA
Source: RNAcentral
CCCUUAGAUGUCCUGGGCCGCACGCGCGUUACACUGAUGCAUUCAACGAGCUUAUAACCUUGGCCGAGAGGCCUGGGCAAUCUUGUUAACGUGCAUCGUGAUAGGGAUAGAUUAUUGAAAUUAUUAAUCUUGAACGAGGAAUUCCUAGUAAGCGCAGAUCAUCAAUCUGCAUUGAUUACGUCCCUGCCCUUUGUACACACCGCCCGUCGCACCUACCGAUUGGAUGGUCCGGUGAAGCCUCGGGAUUGUGGUUCUUGCCGCUUUAUUGUGGCGUGACCGCGAGAACUUGUCUAAACCUUAUCAUCUAGAGGAAGGAGAAGUCGUAACA